RNAcentral lists this small nucleolar RNA (206 nucleotides) under Sclerotinia sclerotiorum 1980 UF-70. The record is from RNAcentral. Lineage: Eukaryota; Fungi; Ascomycota; Leotiomycetes; Helotiales; Sclerotiniaceae.
AAGUCUUCCACCUCGCUCGACCAAGCUUCCCCCCCAAGCCGGUCUUGAGCUGGAUACCCAACUCCCGAUUAUCCCUCUUCGGAGGAAUAAUCAAGAGUUGUGCGUACAAGACGAGAAAGAAUUACAACGACCUUUGAGUGCGGACUCUCCUUGUGUUACUAUAGGAGAUGUUUUUUUCUUUUUCGCAAUUUGUUGUUGGGACAUGC